CCUGCCAGUAGCCAUAUGCUUGUUUAAAGGAUUAAGCCAUGCAUGUGUAAGUAUUAAUGAGAUUUUUUAAUAGUGAAACUGCGAAUGGCUCAAUAAAACAGUUAUAGUUUAUUCGAUGAUAUGGAGGUUAUUUGGAAUAACCGCAGUAAUUCUGGGGCUAAUACAUGCUUAAAAGGGAGGUAUUGUAAGAUAUCUUACCUGUAUUUAUUAGACUUGAAAAUCGGAGGAAGAAAUUCCUUCUAUGCAGUUGAACCAUAAUAACUAAUUCGCAAGAAUUAAAACGAAUCGUAUCUACCCUUCUAGUGGUGACGAUGAAUCGUUCAAGUUUCUGACCUAUCAAUUCAAGAAGGUAGUGUAUUGGACCACCUUGAUUGUAACGGGGUACGGAGAAUUAGGGGUUCGAUUCCGGAGAGGGAGCCUGAGAAACGGCUACCACUUCCAAGGAAGGCAGCAGGCGCGCAAAUUACCCAAUCUCAAUACGAGGAGGUAGUGAAUAAAAAUAAC
This 504-nucleotide ribosomal RNA is filed under the name uncultured eukaryote. RNAcentral's name for it is "bacterial SSU rRNA". It matches the Rfam family "Eukaryotic small subunit ribosomal RNA", at positions 13 to 481 of the family's 1831-position model. The record is from RNAcentral.